This 117-nucleotide non-coding RNA is filed under the name Chlorocebus sabaeus (green monkey). Lineage: Eukaryota; Metazoa; Chordata; Mammalia; Primates; Cercopithecidae. The record is from Rfam by way of RNAcentral.
GCCGGGCAUGGUGGCUUAUGCCUGUAAUCCCAGCGCUUUGGGAGGCCGAGAUGGGUGGAUCACCUGAGGUCAGGAGUUUGAGACCAGCCUGGCCAACAUGGUGAAACCCCGUCUCUA